RNAcentral lists this ribosomal RNA (393 nucleotides) under uncultured bacterium. RNAcentral's name for it is "partial 16S ribosomal RNA". It matches the Rfam family "Bacterial small subunit ribosomal RNA", at positions 523 to 918 of the family's 1533-position model. The record is from RNAcentral.
AUACGUAGGUGACAAGCGUUAUCCGGAUUUAUUGGGUUUAAAGGGAGCGUAGGUGGGAUAUUAAGUCAGCUGUGAAAGUUUGGGGCUCAACCUUAAAAUUGCAGUUGAUACUGGUUUCCUUGAGUACGGUAUAGGUGGGCGGAAUUCGUGGUGUAGAGGUGAAAUGCUUAGAUAUCACGAAGAACUCCGAUCGCGAAGGCAGCUCACCGGGCCGGAACUGACACUGAUGCUCGAAAGUGCGGGGAUCGAACAGGAUUAGAUACCCUGGUAGUCCGCACAGUAAACGAUGAAUACUUGUUUUCGGCGAUAUAAUGUCGGAGGCAAAGCGAAAGCGAUAAGUAUUCCACCUGGGGAGUACGCCGGCAACGGUGAAACUCAAAUGAAUUGGCGGGG